UGCCGGAAUGAGUAGCGAGAAUUAUGUGAGAAUCAUAAUGGCCGAAAGUCUAAGGUUUUUGGAGGAAGGUUCGUCCGCUCCAAGUAAGUCGGGAGCUAAGGUCAGGCCGAAAGGCGUAGCCGAUGCACAAACGGUUGAUAUUCCGUUACCGUCUACAAUUUAAACAAAGGGACACAUACAAAGCGUUUAACCCGGGCGAUGGUUGACCCGGGCGCAAGGGACUGAAAUAAGAGUAGGGAAGUAAAUGUGGCGUAUGGCGAGAAAAGCUUUGUGUAUAGAAGUAGACGCCCGUACCGCAAACCGACACAGGUGGACAGGAAGAGAAUUCUAAGGCCAGCGGGAGAAGGGUAGUUAAGGAACUCGGCAAAUUGACUCCGUAACUUCGGAAUAAGGAGUGCUCGAAAGAGCCGCAGAGAAUAGGCCCAGGCGACUGUUUAGCAAAAACACAGGUCUCUGCCAAAUCGAAAGAUGAAGUAUAGGGGCUGACACCUGCCCGGUGCCGGAAGGUUAAGAGGAGGAGUGCAAGCUCCGAAUUGAAGCCCCGGUAAACGGCGGCCGUAACUAUAACGGUCCUAAGGUAGCGAAAUUCCUUGUCGGGUAAGUUCCGACCCGCACGAAUGGUGUAACGAUCUGGGCACUGUCUCAACUACCCACCCGGCGAAAUUGUAGUACCGGUGAAGAUGCCGGUUACCUGCGGCAAGACGGAAAGACCCCAUGGAGCUUUACUGUAGCCUGAUAUUGGGUUUCGGAAAUCUAUGUACAGGAUAGGCGGGAGACUGGGAAGUAUGAGCGUCAGCUUAUACGGAGUCAUUGUUGGGAUACCGCCCUUAGGUUUCUGGAAUUCUAACCUGCGACCGUGAAUCCGGUCGGGGGACAUUGUCAGGUGGGCAGUUUGACUGGGGCGGUCGCCUCCGAAAAGGUAACGGAGGCGCUCAAAGGUUGGCUCAGCACGGACGGAAACCGUGCCUCAGAGUGUAAACGCAAAAGCCAGCCUAACUGCGAGGAUGACGGUCCGAGCAGUAACGAAAGUUGGAGUUAGUGAUCCGGCGGUAUGUGAAUGGAAAUGCC
RNAcentral lists this ribosomal RNA (1068 nucleotides) under human gut metagenome. Its description in RNAcentral is "bacterial LSU rRNA". It matches the Rfam family "Bacterial large subunit ribosomal RNA", at positions 1295 to 2443 of the family's 2925-position model. The record is from RNAcentral.